AAAGCCCCAUGCUGGUUGUUUUACUUUUGAGUGAGAAGGAAGGGGAAAUAAAUCUCUCACAAUAGAUAAAGAGAAGAUAGUUCAUGUUUUUUUUUAUCACCUUUUUCUUUUCCUUUAUUUUAAAGUCUAAAUGGGGCCAUUUGUCUUUAAUGUGUUUUACCUAUCAAGAAAUACGUGAGCAAUUCUAUAUCAAUUAAAAAAUGUGAACAGUUCUGCAGAAAAAUGUUCAGUUCAAGUGGCUUAAGACAGGUUCCAUUUGUUCAACAAUCUAUACUUUUUAAAAGGCUAUACUUUUCUUGAGAGUUCCUUAAGUUCAUAGCAUGAAGAGGGAUGAGUUGCUGAUCCUAUAUACCAAUGUAAACACAUUGUAUGGGAAUACAAGGGGCUGUGCUGCCUCCCUGUCCAAAUACUGCAUGCAGGUAACACCGAACAAGAGGUGGAGUGAUAACAUGGACAGACUGCCUGGAACACAGAUACCAUCUCCCAGGGCCCAGGAUUCGGAGGCCUAGAGGUAACGCUGGUGUUUCUAGGCUUUGCAACAGUGAAGGACCACUGCCACCUGUGGACAGCAGCAAGCAUUAGCGACAUGCUGCAGGCCGAGUGAAGUGUCAGUGUUGUAUUUUUACAGUGACAACAAGGCAACCUGGUGAACCAGAUAUUCCAAAAUUUUCCCAAUAAGUGUUUUAUGAGUACCUCCAUGGCCUGGGGUAGGACUUUUCACUGCAAAUCAAUAAGCAUCCUUCAGACCAUAUGUAUGUAGGACAUGGUCAUCAUGUGUUAAUAUAAAACCACAGAGAAGGCAUCUUAAAUUCUAAUGCCUUUGAGGGGCAGUUAGAUCAUGUAGAUGUAAAAGAAUAAGAGUGAUCAGGACAGCAAAUUGGAGACCGCAUGCCCUACCUAGAUGCAUUCAGUUUUGUUUAUUUAUUUACUUUUUAAAGAAUGUACUCCAUCAAGCAACAUGCGUUUGAAGCUCAGAUUCAGCCUGCAACCAUCUAGCACCAGAGGGUGAGAAGAGAUUCAAUUCAGUCUAUACCAUAUGAAUAAACCUCU
Molecule: long non-coding RNA, 1050 nt
Filed under: Homo sapiens (human)
Lineage: Eukaryota; Metazoa; Chordata; Mammalia; Primates; Hominidae
Description: HSALNT0145902
Source: RNAcentral